Molecule: RNA transcript, 1549 nt
Organism: Hemicordylus capensis (graceful crag lizard)
Lineage: Eukaryota; Metazoa; Chordata; Lepidosauria; Squamata; Cordylidae
Gene name: C-type lectin domain family 2 member B-like
Exons: 9
Source: RefSeq, a predicted model, not a curated record
CCAAGCUGGACAGAUUUAGCCCUUCCAGUUUGUCAUGAAUCUGCUUUCUUCAAGCUCCCUCCCACAAUUAUUUUUACCGCUCCCAUGUCAGUUAGCUGUUGUUUUUCUUGGGAAGUGGUGCAACCAAGUCAGAACAGACAAAAUCUAAUGGGACUGAAAAGCUGAGACAAAAAAUCUAGAAUGCAAUCAGGAGCCCAACUUUCCCAUAAACUGCUCUGAGAAAACUUAAGAAGACGAGGUUAAAAGGUGUACUCCCAGUUCUUCCUCAUCUAGGGGACUGGAAGCUCACUGAGUGGAUGAGAGGAAAACUUUCCAAAAUCAGAACCGACCACUUCUACCACUAUAGGAGAUUCAAACAUGGUGACUGGCUCCAAAGUCAGAGAGUGAAAGAGCCUGGAGAGGCAGCCGUGCCUCCUAAGAACCUGUUGAGUUGCUACAAAGACAACACUGAAGAGUUGAUCUGAAGAGUAUCUGACUGUGUUGUUCAACUGACUGAUGAACUUGAACAUGAGAGCUUGCUGAUGCUACCUGGUAGCUGGGAGAGACGCUUGAUGGGAAUGAGAAAGUUGGUGCAGACGAGCUCGUGCUGAUCGAGCAGUGGGUCGACUUCAACUUGGAGGAAAACAAGGAAAAAGGCCCUCAGUCAAACUCCAGGGUCCAGAACUCUGUCACAUGGAUACUCCUUGUGCUAUUCAUCAUCCAGAUUGUGGGGUUAAUAACAACCAUCUUUGUUUUUACAAUGGCUAAACCCGAUAUACCAGCUGCCAUCUCUGCCACCCCUUGUUGCCCUCAUGGCUGGAUCAUGAACCAAGCGAGCUGCUACCACUUCUCAGAACUGGAAGGGGCCUGGGAGGCUGGCCAGCACCACUGCUCCUCUCUUGGUGCCUCCCUGGCUGUGAUUGGUAACUUAGAGAAACUGAACAUCACAGUGAAGAACAAAGUUCCCUUCAACCAUUGGGUUGGCCUCCACAGAGAACCAGAUGAUGGCUGGAAAUGGCCUGAUGGCACCCUGUUCAAGAACCUUUUUGAAGUGGAAGGAGACGGACGAUGCGCUUACCUAAGCAACUGGGCUGUGAACAGCACUGACUGUUCGGCUGAGAAGAAAUGGCUCUGCAGCCAGAAAGUGAAGACAAAAGAGGGUAGCCAUAGCCACUGCAGGGCAACGUGACGCCUUAAGAGCUGAGUUUGAGCCAAAGGAACUCCCAGUGCUUUCCCAUGUUAUUAGCUGCCACUCUCUGUGUCUUGUCCACAGUGAUAAGUGCCAACACGCCACCAAUCCAAAUGAUCAACCUCAUGCCCCGUAAGGUAGCAUCUCCUUGUCAAAGACUCUGGGAAUGGGGGCAUCCUUAAUAUCUGAGCACGAGAUAAAGCUUUCUUAUGGAAUGACUACCAGAACUACUAAACUGAAAAUCAGACUUGUGGUAAUGUAAGGAAAGUAUCCUCAAGUGAUUUCUCUUCAUGUCUUUUCAUUAUUAUAGUGCAAGUUUAAGUGCAACUCUACUUGGGUUAGUUAAGAGUGUAUUGUGAUUAUUACAUUAGGUCAACCACC